This is a long non-coding RNA of Galeopterus variegatus (Sunda flying lemur), 359 nucleotides long. RefSeq lists it as uncharacterized. The transcript is spliced from 3 exons. Lineage: Eukaryota; Metazoa; Chordata; Mammalia; Dermoptera; Cynocephalidae. The record is from RefSeq and is a predicted model, not a curated record.
AGACAAAGCUGGGUGGGGACUAGUCCCCAGGCUGCAGCCGCCGCUGCUACACACACACACAACGCCGCCGCCGCCGCCGCUCCGUGGGCGACUCCUACUACUGCUGGGCUGGGCUGGGCUGGGCGGGCUGCGCCGGCUCAUCUGCACAGACCAGCUCGGGAGAGAGGGGAAAAGCCACUCUCCUCUGACCAAGCCUCAGGAGCCAAGCCGGAUCUGCCAGUGAGCCUCAGGCUUUGGGAACUCGAGAGAGUGUCUGAAGACCCAUCCAGCACCCCGAUGGCCAGCAACAACACCGCCAGCAUAGCCCAAGCCAGGAAGCUGGUAGAGCAGCUUAAGAUGGAAGCCAACAUUGAUAGGAU